Molecule: transfer RNA, 66 nt
Filed under: Pelodiscus sinensis (Chinese soft-shelled turtle)
Lineage: Eukaryota; Metazoa; Chordata; Testudines; Trionychidae
Rfam family: tRNA
About the family: Transfer RNA (tRNA) molecules are approximately 80 nucleotides in length. Their secondary structure includes four short double-helical elements and three loops (D, anti-codon, and T loops).
Source: Rfam by way of RNAcentral
GCCUGGCUAGCUCAGUGGGUACAGCAUCAGACUUUUAAUCUUAGGGUUCAAGUCCCUGGUCAGGUG